ACGAACGCUGGCGGCGUGCCUAACACAUGCAAGUCGUACGAUAUAGUGGCGAACGGGUGAGUAACACGUAAGCAACCUCCCCUUAAGACUGGCACAACCUCGAGAAAUCGGGGCUAAUACCAGAUGUGGUCAGCUUGGCACAUGUUAAGCUGAUUAAAUCCAGCAAUGGGCUUAAGGAUGGGCUUGCGGCCUAUCAGCUAGUUGGUGAGGUAACGGCCCACCAAGGCAAUGACGGGUAGCUGGUCUGAGAGGACGACCAGUCACAAGGGAACUGAGACACGGUCCCUACUCCUACGGGAGGCAGCAGUGAGGAAUUUUCCGCAAUGGGCGAAAGCCUGACGGAGCGACGCCGUGUGUGGGAUGAAAUCCUUCGGGAUGUAAACCACUGUCAGAGGGGAAGAUAUUGACGGUACCCUCAGAGGAAGCCCCGGCUAACUACGU
Molecule: ribosomal RNA, 441 nt
Filed under: uncultured bacterium
Lineage: Bacteria
Description: bacterial SSU rRNA
Rfam family: Bacterial small subunit ribosomal RNA
Source: RNAcentral